UACGGAGGGGGCUAGCGUUAUUCGGAAUUAUUGGGCGUAAAGGGCGCGUAGGCGGCCUUUCAAGUGACGGGUGAAAGCCCUCGGCUUAACCGAGGAACUGCCUGUCAGACUGGAAGGCUUGAGACCGGGAGAGGUGAGUGGAAUUCCCAGUGUAGCGGUGAAAUGCGUAGAUAUUGGGAGGAACACCAACGGCGAAGGCAGCUCGCUGGGACGGUACUGACGCUGAGACGCGAAAGCGUGGGGAGCGAACAGG
This 253-nucleotide ribosomal RNA is filed under the name uncultured bacterium. RNAcentral's name for it is "partial 16S ribosomal RNA". It matches the Rfam family "Bacterial small subunit ribosomal RNA", at positions 524 to 776 of the family's 1533-position model. The record is from RNAcentral.